AUUCCAGCUCCAAUAGCGUACGUUAAAGUUGUUGCGGCUAAAAAGCUCGUAGUUGGAUUUCUGUUGAGGACAUCUGGUCCGCUCUACGAGCGUGUAUCUAGUUUGGCCUCGGCAUCCGCUCUGCAUACGUUUCUGCGCUUGAUUGCGUGGAGCGGAGGUAGGGCCUUUUACUUUGAGGAAAUUAGAGUGUUCACGGCUGGCAGUCGCCCUGAAUAUAUUAGCAUGGAAUAAUAACAUAGGAUCUUGGUUCUAUUUUGUUGGUUUCUAGGACUAAGAUAAUGAUUAAUAGGGACAAUUGGGGGCAUUCGUAUCGCGGUGUCAGAGGUGGAAUUCUUAGAUUACUGCACGACGAACUACUGCGAAAGCAUUUGCCAAGGAUGUUUUCAUUG
This 389-nucleotide ribosomal RNA is filed under the name Syndiniales sp. RNAcentral describes it as "partial small subunit ribosomal RNA". It matches the Rfam family "Eukaryotic small subunit ribosomal RNA", at positions 582 to 975 of the family's 1831-position model. Lineage: Eukaryota; Dinophyceae; Syndiniales. The record is from RNAcentral.